CAUCUAGUACUCGGUGGCGCGCACCUUUGGCUUCUGCCGCUGCGCUCGGGAGUACCCCGGCGGGUGUCUCUGGAUUCUUUGCGUCCCGUUCCUUCUUUCCAGCUUCCCGAUUCCUGAUUUGACUGUGCCGGAGCGAGGGGCUGCCCGGGACUCCGGCGAGGUGGCCGCAGGCUGAGAUAGAAUUGAAGCUAGAUAGCUCUGUGCCUAAAAUGAUGAUAUCCUUUACCCUGCAGUAUGUUUAAGAAGCAUUUUACUUUUACAGCUAUG
Non-coding RNA from Thamnophis sirtalis, 267 nucleotides. NCBI's taxonomy places the organism in Eukaryota, Metazoa, Chordata, Lepidosauria, Squamata, Natricidae. The record is from RefSeq and is a predicted model, not a curated record.